RNAcentral lists this ribosomal RNA (744 nucleotides) under uncultured bacterium. RNAcentral's name for it is "bacterial SSU rRNA". It matches the Rfam family "Bacterial small subunit ribosomal RNA", at positions 8 to 796 of the family's 1533-position model. The record is from RNAcentral.
AGAGUUUGAUCAUGGCUCAGAGCGAACGCUGGCGGCAGGCUUAACACAUGCAAGUCGAGCGGGCGUAGCAAUACGUCAGCGGCAGACGGGUGAGUAACGCGUGGGAACGUACCUUUUGGUUCGGAACAACACAGGGAAACUUGUGCUAAUACCGGAUAAGCCCUUACGGGGAAAGAUUUAUCGCCGAAAGAUCGGCCCGCGUCUGAUUAGCUAGUUGGUGAGGUAACGGCUCACCAAGGCGACGAUCAGUAGCUGGUCUGAGAGGAUGAUCAGCCACAUUGGGACUGAGACACGGCCCAAACUCCUACGGGAGGCAGCAGUGGGGAAUAUUGGACAAUGGGCGCAAGCCUGAUCCAGCCAUGCCGCGUGAGUGAUGAAGGCCCUAGGGUUGUAAAGCUCUUUUGUGCGGGAAGAUAAUGACGGUACCGCAAGAAUAAGCCCCGGCUAACUUCGUGCCAGCAGCCGCGGUAAUACGAAGGGGGCUAGCGUUGCUCGGAAUCACUGGGCGUAAAGGGUGCGUAGGCGGGUCUUUAAGUCAGGGGUGAAAUCCUGGAGCUCAACUCCAGAACUGCCUUUGAUACUGAGGAUCUUGAGUUCGGGAGAGGUGAGUGGAACUGCGAGUGUAGAGGUGAAAUUCGUAGAUAUUCGCAAGAACACCAGUAGCGAAGGCGGCUCACUGGCCCGAUACUGACGCUGAGGCACGAAAGCGUGGGGAGCAAACAGGAUUAGAUACCCCGGUAGUCC